Molecule: ribosomal RNA, 458 nt
Filed under: uncultured bacterium
Lineage: Bacteria
Description: partial 16S ribosomal RNA
Rfam family: Bacterial small subunit ribosomal RNA
Source: RNAcentral
CCUACGGGGCGCUGCAGUGAGGAAUAUUGGUCAAUGGGCGAGAGCCUGAACCAGCCAAGUCGCGUGAGGGAGUACUGCCCUAUGGGUUGUAAACCUCUUUUGUCGGGGAGCAAAAGCCGGACGUGUCCGGCUGUGAGAGUACCCGAAGAAAAAGCAUCGGCUAACUCCGUGCCAGCAGCCGCGGUAAUACGGAGGAUGCGAGCGUUAUCCGGAUUUAUUGGGUUUAAAGGGUGCGCAGGCGGAUUUUUAAGUCAGCGGUAAAAUCGUGGGGCUCAACCCCAUCCAGCCGUUGAAACUGGGGAUCUAGAGUGUGCGAGAGGUAUGCGGAAUGCGUGGUGUAGCGGUGAAAUGCAUAGAUAUCACGCAGAACCCCGAUUGCGAAGGCAGCAUACCGGUGCACAACUGACGCUCAGGCACGAAAGCGUGGGUAUCGAACAGGAUUAGAUACCCUUGUAGUC